RNAcentral lists this ribosomal RNA (272 nucleotides) under uncultured Staphylococcus sp. Its description in RNAcentral is "partial 16S ribosomal RNA". It matches the Rfam family "Bacterial small subunit ribosomal RNA", at positions 89 to 355 of the family's 1533-position model. The record is from RNAcentral. Lineage: Bacteria; Bacillati; Bacillota; Bacilli; Caryophanales; Staphylococcaceae.
ACGUUAGCGGCGGACGGGUGAGUAACACGUGGGUAACCUACCUAUAAGACUGGGAUAACUUCGGGAAACCGGAGCUAAUACCGGAUAAUAUUUCGAACCGCAUGGUUCGAUAGUGAAAGANGGUUUUGCUAUCACUUAUAGAUGGACCUGCGCCGUAUUAGCUAGUUGGUAAGGUAACGGCUUACCAAGGCGACGAUACGUAGCCGACCUGAGAGGGUGAUCGGCCACACUGGAACUGAGACACGGUCCAGACUCCUACGGGAGGCAGCAGC